AGCAGGGUCUGUGGAUGUCCACAGAAGCCUAACCCAGAGUACAGGAGAAGCAAGGACGCUUCCCACUGGUACAAUUCUCCAUUGGAAGCAGAGAGAGAAAAGGCAUGGUUGAAGGACAGGAAAGAGAGGAAGCAGGACAUAAUUUGAGGAACUGAAAGAAAGGCGGCGAAGCUGGGUGAGUGGGUAAGGAGGCGCACAAGAUGGACAGGGCCAGAAUACAAAGAGCCUGUUCUAAUGGGGGUGUUCAGUGAUAACCCUCAGGGCACUAAAGGGUUAAGCGCGGCAGUGGUAAUCAGGCCCCCAUAUUAGGAGGGCCUGCUGAUGCCAGGGUCAGUGCUGCCUUGGAACAUUGACGAACAAACAAAUCCGCAGGACUCUGCCUUUCCCUUUAAUUGGACCUUUCCGGUUUCCUUCCUCCAUCCAUAUUCACCAAUUUCCCUUGAAACCCUUUCAAAACAGAGUUCUAUUUUAAGGUCAUCUUCGCUGGGGAGGAAGCAAGAAGAACCUAGCAAAUGUGACUGUCACACUCGCUGAACUGCCUGUCCUCAAGUCCUGCGGUCCUUGCAGCAGGAAGAAUCAAAAUGUUCCCAUAUCAAAACAGCCACAUCAAGGCAGCCACAUCAAGAUGUUCCUAGCAUCAAAAUGACUAUAUCAAAGCUGCGUGUCAGCAAAUUGACGACGACAAAACAGCAUGCAUCAAAAUGGCUGUAUCAUCCAUUGGUACAGCCUUUGCCAUCAAGGGAAUGUGCUCUAGAAUAUGACACUGUCUAUGUCUUCAGGAAUUACCGUGGUUCCUGAUGCAAAGUGAGUUCUUGACAAAUAUUUGCUGGAGAGAAUGGAUUCAAGCUUUUUGAAAGAAGAACUCCAUUAAGAAGUCUAGAAG
This is a long non-coding RNA of Peromyscus californicus insignis, 883 nucleotides long. RefSeq lists it as uncharacterized. The record is from RefSeq and is a predicted model, not a curated record. NCBI's taxonomy places the organism in Eukaryota, Metazoa, Chordata, Mammalia, Rodentia, Cricetidae. The transcript has 3 exons.